CAGCCGCCACGGUAAUACGAAGGGGGCUAGCGUUGUUCGGAAUUACUGGGCGUAAAGCGCACGUAGGCGGACAUUUAAGUCAGGGGUGAAAUCCCGGGGCUCAACCCCGGAACUGCCUUUGAUACUGGGUGUCUAGAGUAUGGAAGAGGUGAGUGGAAUUCCGAGUGUAGAGGUGAAAUUCGUAGAUAUUCGGAGGAACACCAGUGGCGAAGGCGGCUCACUGGUCCAUUACUGACGCUGAGGUGCGAAAGCGUGGGGAGCAAACAGGAUUAGAUACCCCCGUAGUCCCUGUCUCUUAUAC
RNAcentral lists this ribosomal RNA (301 nucleotides) under uncultured bacterium. RNAcentral's name for it is "partial 16S ribosomal RNA". It matches the Rfam family "Bacterial small subunit ribosomal RNA", at positions 509 to 807 of the family's 1533-position model. The record is from RNAcentral.